UAGGACAUGGUCUAAAUGUCUUCUCAGCAGG
RNAcentral lists this non-coding RNA (31 nucleotides) under Mus musculus (house mouse). Lineage: Eukaryota; Metazoa; Chordata; Mammalia; Rodentia; Muridae. The record is from RNAcentral.